This 703-nucleotide ribosomal RNA is filed under the name uncultured Actinomycetes bacterium. RNAcentral's name for it is "bacterial SSU rRNA". It matches the Rfam family "Bacterial small subunit ribosomal RNA", at positions 159 to 873 of the family's 1533-position model. Lineage: Bacteria; Bacillati; Actinomycetota; Actinomycetes. The record is from RNAcentral.
GGGGCUAAUACCGGAUAGGAGCUCCUGCUGCAUGGUGGGGGUUGGAAAGUUUCGGCGGUUGGGGAUGGACUCGCGGCUUAUCAGCUUGUUGGUGGGGUAGUGGCUUACCAAGGCUUUGACGGGUAGCCGGCCUGAGAGGGUGACCGGCCACAUUGGGACUGAGAUACGGCCCAGACUCCUACGGGAGGCAGCAGUGGGGAAUAUUGCACAAUGGGUGGAAGCCUGAUGCAGCAACGCCGUGUGCGGGAUGACGGCCUUCGGGUUGUAAACCGCUUUCGCUCAUGACGAAGCUUUGUGUGACGGUAGUGGGUAAAGAAGCACCGGCUAACUACGUGCCAGCAGCCGCGGUGAUACGUAGGGUGCGAGCGUUGUCCGGAUUUAUUGGGCGUAAAGGGCUCGUAGGUGGUUGAUCGCGUCGGAAGUGUAAUCUUGGGGCUUAACCCUGAGCGUGCUUUUGAUACGGGUUGACUUGAGGAAGGUAGGGGAGAAUGGAAUUCCUGGUGGAGCGGUGGAAUGCGCAGAUAUCAGGAGGAACACCGGUGGCGAAGGCGGUUCUCUGGGCCUUUCCUGACGCUGAGGAGCGAAAGCGUGGGGAGCGAACAGGCUUAGAUACCCUGGUAGUCCACGCUGUAAACGGUGGGUACUAGGUGUGGGGUCCAUUCCACGGGUUCCGUGCCGUAGCUAACGCUUUAAGUACCCCGCC